Molecule: long non-coding RNA, 99 nt
Organism: Nomascus leucogenys (northern white-cheeked gibbon)
Lineage: Eukaryota; Metazoa; Chordata; Mammalia; Primates; Hylobatidae
Exons: 3
Source: RefSeq, a predicted model, not a curated record
CUACAAAGUGGCUUUAAUACCCUGAAGACACAAUAGCUAAGAUCCAAACUGGGAAUAGAUACCCCACUAUGCUUAGCUCUAAAGUUCAAAAGUCAACUC